UGUUAUAAAUUAGAUAAUGAUUAUCCAUCACAUCAUAAUAUUAUUUGAUCUCAUCUUUUAAUCUUAUCUAAUACUUGGUCCCCAAACUACUUGUUCACCAAGUCAUUUGAUGUUUAUCUAUUCUUAAAGGUAUAAUAAAUAGACAAGAAGAAGAGAAGAGAGAAUAAUAAAGUUUUGCUAAGCACUUUCCGCUCUCUCGGUAAAAGGCGUAUUUCAACCCCAACUAUUUUGACGGAGUUUUUUCCUACUCGUACGACGAGACGAUGCUUAAUUUAAAUUAACUAUCUGGACUCUUACUAUAAAUGGCAAAAAUUACAUUUACUAAAUUUGACGUUAGUCAACUGUUAAAAAACGCUGACAAAGCAUGACGAAAUCUGACUUAAAACGUCUUUGUUCCUAUUGAUUAAAAAAUCAAACAAAAUAUCACUUCCAAAAAGACUCGAACCAUAGAAAUCUUAGAGUAGAUGGCACUGUUAUUACCAAUUGAGCCGCAUGUAUUUUCGAUAUUGUUUACCACCACAUUUAUUUAUACCAUUCUGUCUUUAUCAUUCCCUACCAAAAAUGAUUUCCCCAAGUUGUGCUAAAACUUUAACACGUUUGUAACUAAAUAUUAGUACAAACUAUUACUAAAACUAAUUCAUAUUAAUCGAGGUAUAUCCCUAAUAAUAUAUAUAUUAUUUGAAGUAUUAAAGUUUCAGCUUAUAUAUAUAUAUAUU
RNAcentral lists this small RNA (716 nucleotides) under Arabidopsis thaliana (thale cress). RNAcentral describes it as "ATSL044270". Lineage: Eukaryota; Viridiplantae; Streptophyta; Magnoliopsida; Brassicales; Brassicaceae. The record is from RNAcentral.